Molecule: long non-coding RNA, 8146 nt
Organism: Musa acuminata AAA Group (dessert banana)
Lineage: Eukaryota; Viridiplantae; Streptophyta; Magnoliopsida; Zingiberales; Musaceae
Exons: 3
Source: RefSeq, a predicted model, not a curated record
UCCCUAUUUAUGUGUUGGGAGGAACACAGUCGAGCCGUGGUGGCGAGAGGCGAAGAGUCAAAAGGAGAAGGGGAGGGGCUGACAGGAGAGAGUGAGCACAGGGUGGGAACAAGAAAUGAUAUGAUGGCGCUGCUGUUUCCGCUGCGUGCUCACUUCUCUUCCUGUCAGCCUUAUCUACUUCUCCUCCUUAAUUCUUAUCUUUAACCUCGGUUGUAGAGUAGGAUCGAGUUGUCCCCCAAACACCCAAAAGCGAGCUUUUUUCCUUACGGUUCGUCUGGAAAUUUGCUGAAAGAUAAGUGUAAGCUGUACCAGUCUGGAUGAUCUGUGGUUUUUCUCGAUCAGAAAUAGUUCGCUAUGGAUUUCAUCCGUAGUUUUCUAUCAGCAGCAGCGAAGUUUGAGCCCUAAAAUAUAAUAGAUUUGGGAGGUCGACGCGUGACUUUUGAGAAGCGGCGUACUAAUUCGGAUAGAGACGACGGUGAGGUACAUUCACCGCAUCUCUCCUUCCUCUCUCUGGGCAGCACAGUGAGCACUAAAUAGGAACUACUGUUUGAUGGAUCCCCUCUCUCUCUCUCUCUCUCUCUCUCUUCUCGUUCUCGUUUUCUGAUCUUCUUUUUUGGAUCCGUUUUACGAAGGAAACUGGAAUCUUGAUGACACUCUUUGGGCCAAAGGUUUCUUUUUUAUCCUCUUUGUGGCCUCUUUUUUGUUUGUGUUUGUGUUUCUUCGGUAGCUGGCCAUCCUUUCGCCAAAGGUCGGAUCGUUUGUCUUCUUUCACAAGUCUGAACAGCUAGUAGUUUCCGAUGCGGAUUGAGCUCCCUUUGGGAUGAUAACCUUGAACCUUGAGCCAGUUCGUUGUUCUAGGGUUUACUUUUUCCCGAAGCGAAAUCGGUGUGGUCAGAUGAAGACUGGCUUUGUUUUGAUCCAACAGAAGAAUGUAGCUGUGAUCUUUCUCUUCCGUUUGGCGGAUUUAUCAUAUGGUGGGUUUAGCACGGCAGUCCUUAUUUCAUGGAGCUGUUGCCUUGCUUCGUCGUCUAGCUACAGGUUUGGAUUGCUUUUUGACCGUGGGAAUCAUGAGCAAACCCUUCAUGGAUCUCAGUUUUGUUGUCGUUCUCCCUUUUCUCCUCUCACCUCUCUCUCUCUCUCUCUCUCUCUCUCUCUCUCUCUCUCUCUCGAUGGCUUUUUGAUCGCCUUUGUUUGUUUUCGACCUGCAAAAGAACUGAUGCCUUGAGGCUCAUUAAGGCCUCCCAGAAUUGGUUCUUUUGGUUUGCAGUUCCCCUUUUUAUCGUCUACUCUCCAGAGUCUAUUUUGCUUGUAGAUGUGUGGAUGUUGUGGUGGGAUGCAACAAGCAGAUCUUCGCAGAUUACUCUUGGUAAUAUGGAUGUAUAUGGAGGCCAACUUGCGCUUUUACCCUCGCUUCCUCUUUUCAGCAAAUAUUACACAUGAUUCUUUUGCUUGCUCAGUUGCUGCUCUCGGUGGCUCUUAGUUUGCUGAAAAGUAGCUUUUCCUUAUGACAAAUGACAUUUGGGAUAGUGGGCAUGGAUAAAUUGAUUUUUAUCUAGCAGUGGAUUAAAGGAUAGUAUUAAUAGGCAAGAAAAUUAAAGAUGUUGCAAUGACAAGGAAACCAUUGCAACUUGGCUACCACGUACGCCUUUUAUGUUAGGAGAGUAUUAAGCUCAAUUUUGGUCUUCCACAUGUUUGACAAGCCAAGAAGAAUUUGGAUACGGUUUCUCAAUUGUUACAUCUCAUGAUAAUAACUGUGACAAAAUAUUCUGUUUCACAGGAUGUCUUGCAAUAGCUUAGCUGGGGAAUAUAUCCAAGCAGAAAUUCCUUAUUUGUUUUGUGUACGGAAUCUGUAAGUGGUUUUCUUUUUGUAGCAUCUUUUUUGGCUUUAUGCUCUUAUAAUCGCUGGCAAUUCUUAGAAACAUGUUAAGUUAUGUUUCGAGUUUGUAAAUGAAUGUCUAAUAUACCUGCUUUGAAGCAAGCUUAUGGAAUUGUUCUUGAAUUUAUCAUUACCAUCAACUUGUAGUUCGUAGUGACUCUUCUCCUAUAUUUAGUGAACAUAGAUGGGCAGAAAGUUAGACUGUGGACUUGAUUGUUUGCAAUAAACUAAGUAUUCAGCAUCUAGAGUUGCUAGUUCUUUUGUAUAUAAUUAUAUUUGCAAUGAAUAUAGAUGUGAUGACAACUUGACCUUAUUAGAGGCUGAUAUACUUUGUUUGCCCACCUUCUAUGUGACAUUGAAUCUUGCGGACUUAUGAGUGCACAUGUACAAAUAGGAAUGUAAGGUGUUAAUCGGUUAUCCAGGAAGAUAUCCAGUGCAAAUGGUUCCAAGAUUAAGAUUUAGAGGAUAUGUGCCAUUUUCUUUGAACAUGGCAGUGAGAUAAUCUAUUAGUUUAUCACAUUGUUUAGAUCUAGCCUUUCAUCAGUUAACAUGUACAAGCAUAUAGAGGUAUAGUGCUUACCUUUGUCUCUAGUUCAUUGGAAAGAAAAUUGAUUAGUUGUUGUUUGUACUCCCCAGUUCUCAUAUUACUUCAUAUUCUCACCCUUGAGAUGUAAUCUAAAAUUAGGGUUCAGAUGGAUUUAAUUAUUAAUUUAAUGUAACUAAUCACUCAAUCUGAGUUUCAUUUUCCUGUAGAGAAGUGAACAAUGAUAAAUUUGAGAGCAUUUUUGCAUGCUCAUCGUACUUAUAGUCUAUCACCUUUUUUCUUCGUUUUAAUAUUUUUGUACAUUUCUUGAUCAGUCAUUCUUGUAUUCAAUAUUAAGGCCAUGUUUGGAGUGGAAAAACAAAUAAUGGGAAUAGGUAUAAUAAUGUCCCUAGGUGGGGAUUACUGUUUUGGUCUCUUCAAUUUUGUUUGGUUCAAGGGUGGAUGGAAUAGGAAAGAUUGAAACAGCCAAAGAUGUGGAUAUUUGCCUAAAUUUUGCAUAAAAGGACUAUUCUAGGAGAGAGAAGUAGAAAUAAGAGAGAGAAUAAGUCCAUCCCAUCCAAUGGAAUUUAUUGACAGGAAAGAGAAAGAUUUAGGUUAAUCUUGAUAAUGAUGGUCGCUGCUAAAUUCUGCCAUGGAAUAAGCCUUUCCCAGUCCCUUUUUGUAGAAUAAACAGAAAAAAAAGGUAUUCUUCUUCCAAACAUAGUAUAUUAAACUCUUAGAUUCAUCUCAUCUCAUCUUUCCUAUGGUUAAUCUUUAUAACGGUUUUUAGGAUUGCAGGUUUCUGAUUCACUAACAAACUGUAUAAACAACCAGUCUCAUGAAAAUCAUGAUACAUUCAUAAUCUGCCAUUUUGAAGCCACUUUCAUUUUCUUUGUCCCAAAUUAGAUUAUUAAAAUCAAAUCUUACUGUGAAAUACUUACUAAAUUUUUUUGGUGAGUUUAAUUUUGUGUCUUAAACUUGUCCAAUUUGAUAAAGGUGACAAAAAAAGAUCAUCUCUUUUCACCUUCCGCGAAAACUGAAAAGUAAUGGGCAUAUUUUGGGAUGCUGUUUUUCAUAUUAUUUCCUUGCUUAGCUUGUUUAUUCUUGAUUUAAUUAUUUUCUAACAUAUCCUUCUUUUCCCUUUGGCACACUGCAUCAUAACCUGAUCAACCCAUAUUAACGAGACUAUCCUUUUCUAUUUUCAUGGGUGUUUAGUUUUACAUUAUAGCUUAGAGUCUAUCUGUUGGGAUAAUGUUCAUGAAUGAAGUACAUCAACAACCAAUAGAAAUUCAUGGGGAUUGAGGGUUGAAUCUGGGACAGUGGAUGCUAAAUAUAAAAAUUGCUUUCUUAAAUCAAGGUAAUGAAGAUUGUCGGACAUUGAUUUACAAGAUGGAUGAAGAUAUUAUGUGAUCAAGACACGUGAGAAGUAUAUAUUAAGCCUUUGACUUGUGGAAAAGUUAUAAUGCUUUUUGUUUCCCUUUAAAUCUGAAGCUUAGAGAGUUCAUUCGAGAUCCAAACUUGUGCAAGUUCUUCAAGUGAAGGAGAGAUUGUCAUAAAUUAUUAUUUCUGAUGAAAUUGGGAUUUGGGAAAUGGGUCAAAGUUGUAUUUUGGAAGUGUUUAGUUGAUUUUGAGCUAGAUCGCAUGUCCUGAUCUUAAUAUAGUAGCACGGGUAUGCUUAAAGUACUCUAAUAUGUGCAGUUGUAUUUUUGAUGACUUUAUAUGUGGGAAAGAAUUCUUUGUAAUAAUGCAUUAAUACAUAUAUAAGCAUAAUUUUUUUACUUUGUGGAUCUCACAAAAACCUCAGGGCUUUCUUUUAUCCCCUAAGUUCUUUUCUGUCUUGCAUCAAAUUUGAAAUGUGUUCUGCUCUGGUUCUUCUAUAUGCAAGCAUGUUGAGAUGAAUACUUUAUUACUUAAGCUCCUACACGAUGCUCAAACAAUUCCAACCUUAAGUUACACAAACAAGCUUCAUUAAUCUACUAGUUUAAGAUGCAUGAGCUUGUUUGUACUGCAAUAGACGUUCUAAGGAUAAUAAUAUUGAGUCAAUUUCAGAAUUAGACUGUAAGAUAUUUUUUUGCUGGCUUUAGUAGUUUUUGAAGCUAACUUGCGUAUGCCUUGACUUCUACAGUUAAAUAAUAAACUUAACAUCAAGAUGAAAACAUUAUAUGUUGGUUAUUGAAUAUACUUUUAUAUAUUUGGAUCUUUUUCUUUUACCUUUUCUUUUAUCAGAUAUUAGAUAUUCCUGUAUUUAUAAAUCUAUGAAUAAGGUCUUUUUUCUGGAUUACUAUGAGAAAAUUAAUCCUUAUGCACCAACUAGUGGAACUAAUAUAACUGACAUACUUAAGAGUCAAUAUUUUACAAAGUGAUGAAGGUUUGUGUCCCAUAUGCAUCUUUAUGACGUGCUUGCUCGUCUUCAUACCUAUAUAACAAUGCAAUCAAAAUUUUCUGGCUGAGCUGUUACCUUAUUUGUAAAUUGUAAAAAUUGUAAGAAUUUAACAAACUCUUCCUUCUUAGUUUUUAUGUAGAUGGAAAAAGAUAUAGGUGAUGAACAGUCUGUUCAUUUCAAUGAAAAUGUGGCAAGUCUUUAAGUUUUGGUACAACUAAUAUGAAUCCCUUUUUCAUUAGUUGAUAUAUCAAAACCUUAGUCACAAUGGGGAGCAUAUUAAGUCAGUUGAUUAAACAAUUUUAUAGGUCCUUAAUCACAAUCUAUGACUACUAAUGAUGGCUUCCAGUGCAAUGAAUUCAUUGCAAGUUAUAACACAGGGUCAUUCUAACAUUUCAAGGACAUCUUUUCUCUUCUUGGCAUGACUAUGCAUAUCCUAUUGAUUUUUCCCUUCUUCUAGUUUAAAAUUUAAUGUACAUUAAUACUAUAGUCCUUUUGUCAUGAAAUUUAUUUGGAAAAAGAAGCUAACAGCUUUAUUCAAUGAUUACAAUUUCGAACCAUACCUAUAUGCCAACCAAUGAUCGAUAUGGUAUGCCCAAAAAAAAAAAAAAACUUCAAAAAUACCUGAAAAAUAGAAAAAGUUAGAUUAGGAUUUUUAAGUUGAAAAUAAAUAUAAAUUUAGUAUAAUUUUAGCAAAAAUAAUCUAAAUUAGGAAAGAAUAAUGAUAUUUUUUUCAGGCUUCGAGGAGUAGCUUCGUGGUGCAUCCUGAAUUGUCCUUACAUUAAUAAUAAAUUAUCUACGAAGAAAUGAUUUGAAUUGUUAAAUGUGAGUAAGAAUGAGUUUGAGAGAGUUAAAGAGAUUAAGAGAAUGAUAUAAGCUGAAAGAGGGGGCAAGGAAAAGGUUUAAAAACCCUUUCUUAUGGUUCAAAUGGUUGAAAUAGGCGAUCUUAGCCUUUGAUUGGUAACGGUCGAAAUCCGAUUAUUUACGAUCGGUACUGGUCGGUAACGAUUAAAUUCCGAUCAUUACCGUCCGGUAUGAACCUCGUAUUGCCCGAUAUGAGGUUAGGAUACAGUACCGCUUGAUAGAGGGCGCUCUGCGUAUCAAUCCCCUGUUGGACCAGUAUGUAUAGCUCGUAUCGAGCGAGACGGAUCGAUACUGGGAACCCUAAUUUUAUUUCCUAUCAUCACUUUAAAUAUACCAAUGCUUCUUUCUAUUCAACUGCUGUUGCUAAUGUUUCCUCAUUGCAUACCACCUAUUCCAAUAAAGAAGACAACUUGUAAAUGAACUAUGUAAAUAGUGUGGACAACUUGGUAUAUUUUUAAAUGAAAUCUUGUACAUAGUAAACAGGAAAGAUGGAAAGCUUAUUGUUUUGCUCUAUUUAAUUGUAUGUAUGAGCACUAGCAUUGUUUGGCAAAAGCAAGAAUACCAUAAUUCAUGAAUAACCAAUAAAAAGGAAAAAAAAUACCAUGUCUCUUUUAGUCUUUAGUCAACAACAUAUUCUCUGUUUAACCUUAACUUUUGCCUAUAACAAUCCAAAAUUUCAAAUUUUAUUUUUCAAUUCUCUCAUAUCACAUGGAUGUCCAAGGAUGAAUUUCCUAUAUGUUUCAGCUAUUAAUUUUUCACAACCUAAGAGUAAACUAAACACAUGAAAGAAAGGAAUAAAUUUUGGAGUAUAAAUAUGUAUACUUCAUUGCAACACUGAAAAUUUUGAGGAGACCAAGAAAUGUGGUUUCAAUUACUACAAAUUUGAAACUUAAAUGGCAAUUUACUGUUGAGGUUGGAUAUUUUUAGAACUAGGGGCACAAAAAUUUAAUAUUUUUUUUAUAGAAAAAAAUUAUGUCAGAGGAGAACUCGAUAUCGACUUUGUGUAAAUCAAAUUAAAGGACUUUAUUGUUUUGAGAAAAGACUGCAUAUUUUCCCUUAGCUUUUAACUCUACCUUUGUGUAGUUAUCAUAGCAUUGUAAUCGUAUUUGUGUAACAUCAACCAAAAUAAAAUUUAGUAAGUCAGGAACAAGCUAGAAGGCAAGCGUUGAUACAAUGAUAAGGUUGCUGUCUUUCCAACUUGGGCAACUAGAGUUCAUGGUUUCUUUGAGGUCAACAACUCUACUCUCACCAAGAGCCUCGCUGUGCUUCUCAUAUUUGGCCUUUCUGUCUCACCCAUCCCCCAUGAGUGGCCAUGUGCUUCUGGACUUCAUCGUCCUCCUCGGUAUUCGCCCUCCAGGAAUAAUGGUUUUCUCAACAUCCAUAAUCUCAUGCAGCAGAAAACACUCCGGCAAUAGUGGGAUUUCACAGACUGAGGAAAAUGGAUCUCUGGGACACGAGAUUGUGUACAGUAUAAAAGAUGAGUUUUUGGAGCAAAAAUUACGGGUGGAAAAGGUGAUGAAAUCAGAAGUGAUCAAGUCUCGGGUAUCAAUGGUUUUCACUAAGUUGUUCGGUUGAUGGUAGAGAGAAGAGGUUGGAAGAGAAUAGAUACCACCACAUUAGUGUGACUCUGAUGAGUACACAUGGUGUAUCUGGUGGUACAAGGGAGGGGAUGAUUGAGAAAUUGAAGAGAGCUAUAUCUGGUGGAAUUGGAGGUGGAGGAUAUGUCAUAUCUCCAUGCAGGCCAUGCUGGAACUAGGGGGAACAGUGGUGGGAGAGACCUAUUUCAAGAAUAAGAAUUAUCUCGGAAGAGUUUGGUGAAGAGACCCAGGCUUAUCUUGGAGCUGCUGCAAGAGAAGUUAGACAGUGGAUCACAUACACUUUCUAUCGAUGCUAAGACUCUGAGAUUUUACAGAAUUGCUGAUUCAGAUAGUGAAAGGCCUCUACCCAGUGCUAGAUAAUUGAUGCACUGUUAUUUUACCUUGACAACAAAAUAUCGGAGAUGAAAAUGAUGAUUUCUGUCUGCAAUAGGAGGGAAACCAUUUAGAUUCUGCUUGCCAGUGCCAAAUUUCUAGUGAGCUUCUAUGAAGAAGCAUUUUGCAUUCCUAUGACUCAGGCAAUUGUUUCAUGAACUUUACUAUCAUACUGGAGGAUAUACACCAUAAGAGUGUCAUUUCAUGAACAUCCUUCUGUUGUUUAUGCCUCAGGCUUAUGUCAAGUCUUGGUUAUAAUCCUUCAGUAUGCCAUCAAAGAGUGAUUCUACUGUUUAAGACUCAAAGAAUGGUCGAGAUCAUGUUUUAAGUUCAUUUGAUUCCGAUUUAUAUCUCGGUCAUCGGAAUUAAUCACAUGCCCAAUAUCAGGGGGCUUCCCUUGUUGCAAUUUCCUUCUGAAUUUUCUAAAGCAAUCUUCUGCUCCAUAUUGGUAGAUCAAAAGUGAGAAGUUGCAUGGUUUUAGUUGUACACAUGAUGUUUAAUAUUUCAAUGGAUUGUUCAUCUUUGAUUCAAAA